Molecule: ribosomal RNA, 250 nt
Filed under: uncultured prokaryote
Description: partial 16S rRNA
Rfam family: Bacterial small subunit ribosomal RNA
Source: RNAcentral
ACGUAGGGGGCGAGCGUUAUCCGGAAUUAUUGGGCGUAAAGGGUGCGUAGGUGGUCUGAUAAGCGUGGGGUGAAAGGCAAUAGCUUAACUAUUGUAAGCCUUGCGAACUGUCAGACUUGAGUGCAGGAGAGGAAAGUGGAAUUCCUAGUGUAGCGGUGAAAUGCGUAGAUAUUAGGAGGAACACCAGUGGCGAAGGCGACUUUCUGGACUGUAACUGACACUGAGGCACGAAAGCGUGGGGAGCAAACAG